GGUCACGUACGAUCACCGAAGUUAAGCAACAUCGAGCCGGGUCAGUACUGAGAUGGGUGACCACUAGGGAAUAUAAAGUAUUGUAAG
Non-coding RNA from Acanthosepion pharaonis, 87 nucleotides. The record is from the annotation of a GenBank genome assembly. NCBI's taxonomy places the organism in Eukaryota, Metazoa, Mollusca, Cephalopoda, Sepiida, Sepiidae.